AACGAACGCUGGCGGCAUGCCUAACACAUGCAAGUCGAACGAGACCUUCGGGUCUAGUGGCGCACGGGUGCGUACCGCGUGGGAACCUGCCCUUAGGUUCGGAAUAACUCCCCGAAAGGGGUGCUAAUACCGGAUAAUGUCUUCGGACCAAAGAUUUAUCGCCUUUGGAUGGGCCCGCGUUGGAUUAGCUAGUUGGUAGGGUAAAAGCCUACCAAGGCGACGAUCCAUAGCUGGUCUGAGAGGAUGAUCAGCCACACUGGGACUGAGACACGGCCCAGACUCCUACGGGAGGCAGCAGUGGGGAAUAUUGGACAAUGGGCGAAAGCCUGAUCAAGCAAUGCCGCGUGAGUGAUGAAGGCCUUAGGGUUGUAAAGCUCUUUUACCCGGGAUGAUAAUGACAGUACCGGGAGAAUAAGCUCCGGCUAACUCCGUG
This 433-nucleotide ribosomal RNA is filed under the name uncultured bacterium. Its description in RNAcentral is "partial 16S ribosomal RNA". It matches the Rfam family "Bacterial small subunit ribosomal RNA", at positions 29 to 507 of the family's 1533-position model. The record is from RNAcentral.